RNAcentral lists this non-coding RNA (27 nucleotides) under Cricetulus griseus (Chinese hamster). The record is from RNAcentral. Lineage: Eukaryota; Metazoa; Chordata; Mammalia; Rodentia; Cricetidae.
AGAUACUACUGUUCCUCGUCGUUUGGG